RNAcentral lists this ribosomal RNA (492 nucleotides) under uncultured bacterium. Its description in RNAcentral is "partial 16S ribosomal RNA". It matches the Rfam family "Bacterial small subunit ribosomal RNA", at positions 30 to 507 of the family's 1533-position model. The record is from RNAcentral.
AUUGAACGCUGGCGGCAUGCUUUACACAUGCAAGUCGAACGGUAACAGGCCUUCGGGUGCUGACGAGUGGCGAACGGGUGAGUAAUGCAUCGGAACGUACCCAGAGGUGGGGGAUAACGCAGCGAAAGCUGUGCUAAUACCGCAUGUGAUCUGAGGAUGAAAGCGGGGGACCGAGCAGCAAUGUUUGGCCUCGCGCCUUUGGAGCGGCCGAUGUCGGAUUAGCUAGUUGGUGGGGUAAAGGCCUACCAAGGCGACGAUCCGUAGCUGGUCUGAGAGGACGACCAGCCACACUGGGACUGAGACACGGCCCAGACUCCUACGGGAGGCAGCAGUGGGGAAUUUUGGACAAUGGGCGCAAGCCUGAUCCAGCAAUGCCGCGUGCGGGAAGAAGGUCUUCGGGUUGUAAACCGCUUUUGGCAGGAACGAAACGGUGUCCGCUAAUACCGGGCGCUAAUGACGGUACCUGCAGAAUAAGCACCGGCUAACUACGUG